UCAUAGAUUCAGCAGUGUAUACACUAAAAUCAGAACAACAGAGAUUAGCAUAUUCCCUGCACCAGGAUGCCGAUCAAGUCAUGAUGUGUUCUGUGUUUCU
This 100-nucleotide small nuclear RNA is filed under the name Mesocricetus auratus (golden hamster). The record is from RNAcentral. Lineage: Eukaryota; Metazoa; Chordata; Mammalia; Rodentia; Cricetidae.